AACUAACGCUGGCGGCGCGUCUUAAACAUGCAAGUCGAGCGGCAGCACUUCGGGUGGCGAGCGGCGAACGGGUGAGUAACACGUAGGUAAUUUGCCCACGGAUGGGGGAUAACCUUUCGAAAGGAAGGCUAAUACCGCAUAACACCACGGUGUCUAUGGACAUUGUGGUCAAAGCAGCAAUGCGUCUGUGGAGAAGCCUGCGUCCGAUUAGGUAGUUGGUGAGGUAACGGCUCACCAAGCCAGCGAUCGGUAGCCGGCCUGAGAGGGUGAACGGCCACACUGGAACUGGGACACGGUCCAGACUCCUACGGGAGGCAGCAGUUAAGAAUCUUGCGCAAUGGAGGCAACUCUGACGCAGCGACGCCGCGUGUGCGAUGAAGGCCCUCGGGUUGUAAAGCACAACAAACAGGAAGAAGAAAGUGACGGUACCUGUCUGAAGCACCGGCUA
Molecule: ribosomal RNA, 448 nt
Filed under: uncultured bacterium
Lineage: Bacteria
Description: bacterial SSU rRNA
Rfam family: Bacterial small subunit ribosomal RNA
Source: RNAcentral